GAUCGGAGUCUGCAACCCGACUCCGUGAAGCUGGAUUCGCUAGUAAUCGCGCAUCAGCCAUGGCGCGGUGAAUACGUUCCCGGGCCUUGUACACACCGCCCGUCACACCAUGGGAGUUUGUAACGCCCAAAGUCGGUGGCCUAACCUUUAUGGAGGGAGCCGCCUAAGGCGGGACAGAUGACUGGGGUAGAAGUCGUAACAAGGUACC
Molecule: ribosomal RNA, 208 nt
Filed under: uncultured bacterium
Lineage: Bacteria
Description: partial 16S ribosomal RNA
Rfam family: Bacterial small subunit ribosomal RNA
Source: RNAcentral